GAUCAUUUAGCCAGCUUUCAAACUCCCCGGCGUCUGCCACGGGCGCAGCCAUCUUGGCCCUAUGGGGUCUUUUCGGCGGCGCACGGCUGUCUUUUCUCAUUGCCUGUUCAAAAAGUGUUGUACAGAAGAUGACGUCAGUGAGACAACCUGUGCAACAUGACGGGUGGGUGGACACCAGGUGAGAGACAAGUCACUAACGGGCUGUGAUUCUGCGCUGAACUGGUCACACCAUCAGCCCAGCUGUUUCUCUUGCCUCAAG
Etheostoma spectabile (orangethroat darter) is the source of this 259-nucleotide long non-coding RNA. RefSeq lists it as uncharacterized. The transcript has 3 exons. The record is from RefSeq and is a predicted model, not a curated record. NCBI's taxonomy places the organism in Eukaryota, Metazoa, Chordata, Actinopteri, Perciformes, Percidae.